UACGAAGGGGGCAAGCGUUGUUCGGAAUUACUGGGCGUAAAGGGCGCGCAGGCGGUUCUUCAAGUCAGAUGUGAAAGCCCCGGGCUCAACCUGGGAAUUGCAUUUGGGACUGGGGAACUAGAGUUCGGGAGAGGUGGGUGGAAUUCCCAGUGUAGAGGUGAAAUUCGUAGAUAUUGGGAAGAACACCGGUGGCGAAGGCGGCUCACUGGACCGAUACUGACGCUGAGGCGCGAAAGCUAGGGGAGCAAACAGG
Molecule: ribosomal RNA, 253 nt
Filed under: uncultured bacterium
Lineage: Bacteria
Description: partial 16S ribosomal RNA
Rfam family: Bacterial small subunit ribosomal RNA
Source: RNAcentral